CCUACGGGUGGCAGCAGUGGGGAAUAUUGCGCACUGGGCGCAAGCCUGACCCAGCAACGCCGCGUGAAGGAAGAAGUCCCUCGGGUUGUAAACUUCUUUUGUCAGGGACGAAGCAAGUGACGGUCCCUGACGAAUAAGCCACGGCUAACUACGUGCCAGCAGCCGCGGUAAUACGUAGGUGGCGAGCGUUAUCCGUAUUUACUGGGUGUAAAGGGCGUGUAGGCGGGGAAGCAAGUCAGAUGUGAAACUCCAGGGCUCAACCCUGGAACUGCAUUGGAAACUGUUUUUCUUGAGUGAUGGAGAGGCAGGCGGAAUUCCGUGUGUAGCGGUGAAAUGCGUAGAUAUACGGAGGAACACCAGUGGCGAAGGCGGCCUGCUGGACAUUGACUGACGCUGAGGCGCGAAAGCGUGGGGAGCAAACAGGAUUAGAUACCCCAGUAGUC
This 443-nucleotide ribosomal RNA is filed under the name uncultured bacterium. RNAcentral describes it as "partial 16S ribosomal RNA". It matches the Rfam family "Bacterial small subunit ribosomal RNA", at positions 338 to 795 of the family's 1533-position model. The record is from RNAcentral.